GAUGAACGCUGGCGGCGUGCCUAAUACAUGCAAGUCGAGCGAACAGACGAGGAGCUUGCUCCUCUGACGUUAGCGGCGGACGGGUGAGUAACACGUGGAUAACCUACCUAUAAGACUGGGAUAACUUCGGGAAACCGGAGCUAAUACCGGAUAAUAUAUUGAACCGCAUGGUUCAAUAGUGAAAGACGGUUUUGCUGUCACUUAUAGAUGGAUCCGCGCCGCAUUAGCUAGUUGGUAAGGUAACGGCUUACCAAGGCAACGAUGCGUAGCCGACCUGAGAGGGUGAUCGGCCACACUGGAACUGAGACACGGUCCAGACUCCUACGGGAGGCAGCAGUAGGGAAUCUUCCGCAAUGGGCGAAAGCCUGACGGAGCAACGCCGCGUGAGUGAUGAAGGUCUUCGGAUCGUAAAACUCUGUUAUUAGGGAAGAACAAAUGUGUAAGUAACUAUGCACGUUUUGACGGUACCUAAUCAGAAAGCCACGGCUAACUACGUG
This 497-nucleotide ribosomal RNA is filed under the name uncultured bacterium. RNAcentral's name for it is "partial 16S ribosomal RNA". It matches the Rfam family "Bacterial small subunit ribosomal RNA", at positions 28 to 507 of the family's 1533-position model. The record is from RNAcentral.